RNAcentral lists this ribosomal RNA (99 nucleotides) under Acanthosepion pharaonis. Lineage: Eukaryota; Metazoa; Mollusca; Cephalopoda; Sepiida; Sepiidae. The record is from RNAcentral.
GUUGAAACACCGGUUCUCGUACGAUCACCGAAGUUAAGCAACGUCGAGCCUGGCCAGUACCUAGACGGGUGACCGCUUGGGGAUACCAGGUGCUGUAAG